AUAUUGAUAUCCUAGAAUCGAGUUAGUGAAAGAAUAAGCAAGAGCGGUUGUCUCUCACUAGCUCGAUUCUAAGAUAUCAAUAUG
This is a non-coding RNA of Biomphalaria pfeifferi, 84 nucleotides long. Lineage: Eukaryota; Metazoa; Mollusca; Gastropoda; Planorbidae. The record is from the annotation of a GenBank genome assembly.